RNAcentral lists this unclassified non-coding RNA (239 nucleotides) under uncultured fungus. Its description in RNAcentral is "sequence contains ITS1, 5.8S rRNA gene". The stretch from base 191 to 239 matches the Rfam family "5.8S ribosomal RNA", at positions 1 to 49 of the family's 154-position model. Lineage: Eukaryota; Fungi. The record is from RNAcentral.
UUUNCGUUGGUGAACCAGCGGAAGGAUCAUUACAGAGAUCAUGCCCUCUAAGGGUAGACCUCCCACCCUGUGUUAAUACUCUUGUUGCUUUGGCAGGCCGCCUUCGGGCUCUCGGCUCCGGCUGAGGUGCGCCUGCCAGAGGACCCCAACUCUGUGUUUAGUGUCGUCUGAGUACUAUAUAAUAAGUUAAAACUUUCAACAACGAAUNUCUUGGUUCUGGCAUCGAUGAAGAACGNAGC